Molecule: long non-coding RNA, 673 nt
Organism: Cottoperca gobio
Lineage: Eukaryota; Metazoa; Chordata; Actinopteri; Perciformes; Bovichtidae
Exons: 3
Source: RefSeq, a predicted model, not a curated record
GGCCUGGGUCGCUCGUCAGCCGGCGUGUAGGUGCUCGCGGUCAGCAGCAGCGUGCGGGUCUCUCCGGCUCCGGUGGUGCUCGCCUUGCAGAGAGAGACGCGGUCAUACGCAUAGCGUCGGAGCGGAUCUGAAUCAGACAGCAGUGGUGUGGCACAAUGGGGUCCUGACCCACAGCUGCUCACAGUGACAACAGCCUGUCGGAUUGCAUCUCUGUUUGGCGGGCGGUGACACACACACACACACACACACACACACACACACGAUUUUGAUUGGGAUGGUAUUUUGACGAGGGAAAAACUGACUUUUUGUAAUGGCCUUACAGGAAUAAAUGAAGCGGCUAACCCUAACCCUAUUUAUGUUGACUAUAACGCAGUACAUUGACUUUAAUCCUCACAUCAUAAUUCAGUAUUUCUUCAGACCAAACAUAAUUCUCUGAUAUGUUUACGUGUGUUGUGCUUCUUUGCAGCCGCUCUGUGUGGUGUAUCCUGGCAGUCACCGUCUGUAAGUAGUGCUCUCGUGCAGAUUGGUCCUCUGGUGUGCUUUCCCUGGAGGAGGUUGGCAGGAGGUCCAUGCUGGGAUGUCUGACACCUCUGCCGGCUGCACGGCUCCUGCUCGACACACAAAGAUACUUCACAUUGUUAUUGUUCAUUUUCCAUUUUGUUAAAUAAAUCUU